GGCUCUGUGGCUUGGUUGGCUAAAGCGCCUGUCUCAUAAACAGGAAAUCCUGGGUUCGAAUCCUGCUGGGUUU
RNAcentral lists this transfer RNA (73 nucleotides) under Bos taurus (domestic cattle). It matches the Rfam family "tRNA". Rfam says of the family: Transfer RNA (tRNA) molecules are approximately 80 nucleotides in length. Their secondary structure includes four short double-helical elements and three loops (D, anti-codon, and T loops). Lineage: Eukaryota; Metazoa; Chordata; Mammalia; Artiodactyla; Bovidae. The record is from Rfam by way of RNAcentral. RNAcentral also lists the same sequence under 2 other names.